AUACGGAGGGUGCAAGCGUUAUCCGGAUUUAUGGUUUAAAGGGUGCGUAGCGGAAUAAUAAGUCAGUUGUGAAAGUUUGCGGCUCAACCGUAAAAUUGCAGUUGAUACUGUUUUCUUGAGUGUACAUAAGGUAGGCGGAAUUCGUGGUGUAGCGGUGAAAUGCAUAGAUAUCACGCAGAACUCCGAUUGCGAAGGCAGCUUACUAAGCUACAACUGACACUGAAGCACGAAAGCGUGGGGAUC
RNAcentral lists this ribosomal RNA (243 nucleotides) under uncultured bacterium. Its description in RNAcentral is "partial 16S ribosomal RNA". It matches the Rfam family "Bacterial small subunit ribosomal RNA", at positions 523 to 769 of the family's 1533-position model. The record is from RNAcentral.